UACAGAGGUCCCAAGCGUUGUUCGGAUUCAUUGGGCGUAAAGGGUGCGUAGGCGGCGCCGUAAGUCGGAUGUGAAAUCCCGGGGCUCAACCCCGGAACUGCAUUCGAUACUGCGGUGCUUGAGGACUGGAGAGGAGACUGGAAUUCACAGUGUAGCAGUGAAAUGCGUAGAUAUUGUGAGGAAGGCCAGUGGCGAAGGCGGGUCUCUGGACAGUUCCUGACGCUGAGGCACGAAGGCCAGGGGAGCAAACGGG
Molecule: ribosomal RNA, 253 nt
Filed under: bacterium
Lineage: Bacteria
Also listed under: 1 other name
Description: partial 16S ribosomal RNA
Rfam family: Bacterial small subunit ribosomal RNA
Source: RNAcentral